UGCGGCCCCCGCCAGCGCCGCUUCGUCUGCGGUCCCCGCCAGCGCCGCUUCGUCUGCGGUGCCGACCAGCGCCGCUUCGUCUGCGGUCCCCGCCAGCGCCGCUUCGUCUGCGGUGCCGACCAGCGCCCUUCUGCAUGGUACCUCGCCUGAUGUAGCCACGCAGGGCGGAGAGUGGAGGGGAUUGUGUUUAUCUAUUGGUCAUCAUGCAUCAGCAGUGUGCGUCCAUCUUGUGCUCCACUGACCUAGGCGCAGUUCCAUGCUGUUCAUUGCCAUGCAGUCCCAUGUUCAAUCCACUCCUGUUCGUCUCCUCAGUCACCCGGAGACCUUGGCCUACUCCUGGUCCUCUACGCCCGCCAGCGCCUCUUCGUCUGCGGCCCCCGCCAGCGCCGCUUCGUCUGCGGUCCCCGCCAGCGCCGCUUUGUCUGCGGUGCCGACCAGCGCCCUUCUGCAGGGCACCUCGCCUGAUGUAGCCACGCAGGGCGGAGAGUGGAGGUGAGCUAUUACUGAUUAGUUUUGUCCAGGUAAAUUUAGAGUAAUCAUACACUCACUUUCUGUCUUUUUGUUAUUUUUGUCAUUGUGUGUCAGACAACUUCACCGAUAACACUGAUACAAUUAUUUUUAGGGAACCUGCUUCUUGUGUUCUCAACUUGUUUCUUUGUUGAAUCAUUUCUCCAUCAUUAUCU
Molecule: long non-coding RNA, 683 nt
Organism: Amphibalanus amphitrite
Lineage: Eukaryota; Metazoa; Arthropoda; Thecostraca; Balanomorpha; Balanidae
Exons: 2
Source: RefSeq, a predicted model, not a curated record